Molecule: ribosomal RNA, 305 nt
Filed under: uncultured bacterium
Lineage: Bacteria
Description: bacterial SSU rRNA
Rfam family: Bacterial small subunit ribosomal RNA
Source: RNAcentral
UGUCCUACGGGAGGCAGCAGUGGGGGAUAUUGCACAAUGGGGGAAGCCCUGAUGCAGCGACGCCGCGUGGGUGAAGAAGCGCCUCGGCGCGUAAAGCCCUGUCAGCAGGGAAGAAAAUGACGGUACCUGAAGAAGAAGCCCCGGCUAACUACGUGCCAGCAGCCGCGGUAAUACGUAGGGGGCAAGCGUUAUCCGGAUUUACUGGGUGUAAAGGGGGCGCAGACGGCGAUGCAAGCCAGGAGUGAAAGCCCGGGGCCCAACCCCGGGACUGCCCUUGGACCUGCGUGGCUAGAGUGCAGGCGGGG